Hyla sarda is the source of this 1156-nucleotide long non-coding RNA. RefSeq lists it as uncharacterized. NCBI's taxonomy places the organism in Eukaryota, Metazoa, Chordata, Amphibia, Anura, Hylidae. The transcript is spliced from 3 exons. The record is from RefSeq and is a predicted model, not a curated record.
GUGCCCAAGAUAGAAAUGGUGACGUCAUGAAACUCCGACUGGAAAAGUCGGGAACUUACUCACUAGUGGUGUCUCGUGGUUUCCGAAGAGAAGAAGAUUGUGAAAAUGUAAAUGAUAAUAAUGGAGAUUCCAGAAAAGAUACAGAGGAAGUGUUUGUGUAAUGUCCUGUAUAUUCAUAGUGAAGUGUGUAUACUAACGUGCUGAAAGGAAAAGUAUACACUGCCGUGUGACGUAUGGGGGAGCACGUGACCACACAUCUGGUCACUUACCUUACCCGUAGUGCCCACCCACGUUAAAAGGGCCCGAUGAUAUCCCAAAUCUCAGAUAUUUAUCUUGUGCAACCCAAUGGUUUGUAACCAGCUACCGAGAGUCCUUUUGGAUCCACAAAUUGGUUACUUUAGUCCCGUGGGGUCUUAAUGAGAAGAUCGAAAAUGUCUGGUAAUAUAACUGUCUUUUUUAAAGAUACGUGGACGACAUGUUGAUUGUGUGGGAAGGAGAAGAAACCCAGUUUAUCGACUUCAUCUCCUAUUUGAACGACUAUAACCGUAUGAAUAUGCGAUUUACUUAUACGUUUGGGGGAACAAAGAUUCAAUUUUUGGACAUGACUCUAUACGUAGAAGGUGACAAUCUGCUUACGAAGGGCUAUCGGAAAGCCAUAGCUAAAAAUUCCAUUUUACAUUAAAACAGUUCACACCCUAAGCAAGUAAACAAUUCCAUCCCAUAUAGUCAAUUCCUCCGACUUAAGAGGAAUAAUGAAGACCCUCGGGUUUAUACAGAACAAGCUAUUGAGCUUGCUUCCAGAUUGGAAAGAAGAAGAUACCCCCAUAGUGUGAUCAACAAGGGGUUAAAAAAGGCUGAAUUGGUAUCCAGAAAUUCUCUACUUGCCUCUUCUAAAAGGAAAAAGGGUGCAGUUCAGGAUAAACGAUUGGUAUUUGCUUUUAAGAACAGUUCUAUGAACUCCAUGAUUAGAACAGCUAUCGUGAGAAAUUGGCAUAUGCUGAAAAGUGACAGUGAUCUGGUAGAAGUCGCAAGAAGAAAACCUAUCGUGACGUAUCGCAGGAAUAAAUCGGUGAAAUAUUGAAUUUCAACAGCACAAGGGCCAUUAAAAAACUGGAAGAAAAUGGGCUCAAAAGUUUUAUUCCUAAAGGAAAUAAAA